RNAcentral lists this ribosomal RNA (767 nucleotides) under Shigella sonnei. Its description in RNAcentral is "partial 23S ribosomal RNA". It matches the Rfam family "Bacterial large subunit ribosomal RNA", at positions 2176 to 2925 of the family's 2925-position model. Lineage: Bacteria; Pseudomonadati; Pseudomonadota; Gammaproteobacteria; Enterobacterales; Enterobacteriaceae. The record is from RNAcentral.
CUGCAUGGAGCCGGCCUUGAAAUACCACCCUUUAAUGUUUGAUGUUCUAACGUGGACCCGUGAUCCGGGUUGCGGACAGUGUCUGGUGGGUAGUUUGACUGGGGCGGUCUCCUCCUAAAGAGUAACGGAGGAGCACGAAGGUUGGCUAAUCCUGGUCGGACAUCAGGAGGUUAGUGCAAUGGCAUAAGCCAGCUUGACUGCGAGCGUGACGGCGCGAGCAGGUGCGAAAGCAGGUCAUAGUGAUCCGGUGGUUCUGAAUGGAAGGGCCAUCGCUCAACGGAUAAAAGGUACUCCGGGGAUAACAGGCUGAUACCGCCCAAGAGUUCAUAUCGACGGCGGUGUUUGGCACCUCGAUGUCGGCUCAUCACAUCCUGGGGCUGAAGUAGGUCCCAAGGGUAUGGCUGUUCGCCAUUUAAAGUGGUACGCGAGCUGGGUUUAGAACGUCGUGAGACAGUUCGGUCCCUAUCUGCCGUGGGCGCUGGAGAACUGAGGGGGGCUGCUCCUAGUACGAGAGGACCGGAGUGGACGCAUCACUGGUGUUCGGGUUGUCAUGCCAAUGGCACUGCCCGGUAGCUAAAUGCGGAAGAGAUAAGUGCUGAAAGCAUCUAAGCACGAAACUUGCCCCGAGAUGAGUUCUCCCUGACCCUUUAAGGGUCCUGAAGGAACGUUGAAGACGACGACGUUGAUAGGCCGGGUGUGUAAGCGCAGCGAUGCGUUGAGCUAACCGGUACUAAUGAACCGUGAGGCUUAACCUUACAACGCCGAAG